GUACUCCGCCGCCGAGCGAAUACACCACAUCAAAAGGAAAACGUACUUCCUGUCUAUCGGUUCCAUUCUGGUAGGCACUCCAGAUCUUCUUCUGCGAGGCGUCCGCCCAGUACACCCUGGAAGUCACGCGGUCAAAGUCUACGCUCACAAUGCUCGAUCCGCUAACCACUGGACUGAUGGUGGGCGGCACUGCGUUGAUCCUGUAGGCGAUGACUUGGCUACGCUUGGCUAUCAGAAGCACGGCAGCGAGAGGGUCUAAAACAGGAAGACAAACAAACAAAAGAGCAUCAUGGCACUGCUGGCUGCAAAAGCCCGGGAUGAGACACUCGUUGAUGUCGUCGCAGGUCUUGGAGUCGUUCAGCAGCUGGAAACCCGGCAGACAUUUGCACUCGGCCCCGAACGGUCCUUGAACGCAGAUGUCGCUGCAGCCGCCGUUGUUCAGUAAACAGUCGUCUUCGUCUUUGGCAAAUGACACACGAGAGAUGUAGAAUCAUUUCUAGCUCUGUCUGUCUGUUAAAUGUAUUUUUUUUCCCACAUAGAAAAUGGAUGGCCGGACAGAGUAAAGCAAAACUCACUGCAGAGAGGCGACUCAUCGGCUCCAUUGGGGCAGUCCCCGUGGCCGUCGCACACUUGAGCUUGCUGAAUGCACACCUGGUCCGUGGGACACAUCCACUGGCCGGCGGGACACUGGAACGGCGGCGUGGGACAGUUCCGCUCGUCGCUAUUGUCCCGGCAGUCAUUUUCGCCGUCGCACAACCAGGCGUUUGGGACGCAUAUCUUGUUUGCGCACUGGAAGUAGCCGGAUAAGCAGGUGACGGGCGGGCAGGAGAUGUGCUCGUCGGAUCCGUCCUCGCAGUCCGGGUGGCCGUCACAUUCCCACUGCUCCGGUACGCAGAAUCCGUCGGUUUGGCACUGGAACUCGUUGUCGUGGCACAAGCCCGGGCCUGGAGUGGCUUUGGGCACAGACAUUACGAAACUCAAUUGACUGCGCUGGCAAAUCGAUGGCGGACGACGGCAAGUCCGUCAAUCUUGCAAGACUUACGACAGCCAUACUCGUCGGAAUGGUCCCUGCAGUCAAACACUCCGUCGCAGUGAUAACUGCUGCUGAUACACUGGUCGCCGGUGGCGCAGGCGAACUGAUAGGAAGGGCAGGAGAAUUCUUUGUCGGAAGAAAAAGAAAA
Hippocampus zosterae (dwarf seahorse) is the source of this 1181-nucleotide long non-coding RNA. RefSeq lists it as uncharacterized. The transcript has 2 exons. Lineage: Eukaryota; Metazoa; Chordata; Actinopteri; Syngnathiformes; Syngnathidae. The record is from RefSeq and is a predicted model, not a curated record.